GUGGUAGUUCAGUAGGCUACAGGCCAGGUCAGUGGUAGUUCUGUAGGCUACAGGCCAGGACAGGUCAGUGGUAGUUCAGUAGGCUACAGGCCAGGUCAGUGGUAGUUCAGUAGGCUACAGGCCAGGUCAGUGGUAGUUCAGUAGGCUACAGGUCAGGUCAGUGGUAGUUCAGUAGGCUACAGGCCAGGCCAGUGGUAGUUCAGUAGGCUACAGGCCAGGUCAGUGGUAGUUCAGUAGGCUACAGGCCAGGUCCGGUCAGUGGUAGUUCAGUAGGCUGCAGGCCAGGCCAGUGGUAGUUCAGUAGGCUACAGGCCAGGUCAGGUCAGUGGUAGUUCAGUAGGCUACAGGCAAGGUCAGGUCAGUGGUAGUUCAGUAGGCUACAGGCCAGGCCAGUGGUAGUUCAGUAGGCUACAGGCCAGGCCAGUGGUAGUUCAGUAGGCUACAGGCCAGGCCAGUGGUAGUUCAGUAGGCUACAGGCCAGGUCAGUGGUAG
This 492-nucleotide long non-coding RNA is filed under the name Salmo salar (Atlantic salmon). Its description in RNAcentral is "lncRNA (ENSSSAG00000091184.1, ENSSSAG00000104114.1)". Lineage: Eukaryota; Metazoa; Chordata; Actinopteri; Salmoniformes; Salmonidae. The record is from RNAcentral.